RNAcentral lists this unclassified non-coding RNA (340 nucleotides) under Hevea brasiliensis (rubber tree). Lineage: Eukaryota; Viridiplantae; Streptophyta; Magnoliopsida; Malpighiales; Euphorbiaceae. The record is from RNAcentral.
UAUAUAUGCAUUUUGCACUUAACUAGUACUUUUAUGAAUUAUAAUAAACUGAAGAGCAGAUCGUUAUCUGUGUUGUUGGAAUGGUAAGAAUGUUGCUAAUUUUUUUUUUCCUCAAAUCUCAUAUCUUGUUACAGUGUGCAAAUUUGUAGCGUAUGUCAAUCACAAAGGGGUCACUAUCCAAAGUUUUUCCGUAACAUUCUAGUUGAUGUCUCUGCAUUUUAUUCAUUGUAUAUAACAAACUUUUUUUUUUGGUUUAAAAGGAAAAGUUAUUUUUGUCUCUUAUUCUUAUAUGCAGGCAGAUUGAAUAUAUUGUUUAACAUGUAUGCACAAUGUAGAACAU